GAUGAACGCUGGCGGCGUGCCUAAUACAUGCAAGUCGAGCGAACAGAUGAGGAGCUUGCUCCUCUGACGUUAGCGGCGGACGGGUGAGUAACACGUGGAUAACCUACCUAUAAGACUGGGAUAACUUCGGGAAACCGGAGCUAAUACCGGAUAAUAUAUUGAACCGCAUGGUUCAAUAGUGAAAGACGGUUUUGCUGUCACUUAUAGAUGGAUCCGCGCCGCAUUCGCAAGUUGGUAAGGUAAAGGCUUACCAAGGCAACGAGGCGUAGCCGACCUGAGAGCGUGGUCGGCCAGACUGGAUGAGAGACACGGUCCAGACACCUACGGUAGGCAGCAGUAGGGAAUCUUCCGCGAUGGGGGAGAGCCUGACGGAGCAAAGCCGCGUGAGUGAUGAAGGUCUUCGGAUCGGAAAACGCUGUUAUUAGGGAAGAACAAAUGUGUAAGUAACUAUGAACGUCUUGACGGUACCGAAACAGUAAGCCCCGGCUAACUACGUG
Molecule: ribosomal RNA, 497 nt
Filed under: uncultured bacterium
Lineage: Bacteria
Description: partial 16S ribosomal RNA
Rfam family: Bacterial small subunit ribosomal RNA
Source: RNAcentral